Molecule: long non-coding RNA, 262 nt
Filed under: Ricinus communis (castor bean)
Lineage: Eukaryota; Viridiplantae; Streptophyta; Magnoliopsida; Malpighiales; Euphorbiaceae
Description: long non-coding RNA (RCOM_LNC003784)
Source: RNAcentral
ACCAGGUAGCAUUCCUUAGCGACAUCAGCUGCCCGCACGAAGCCCCAACAAUCGACAAUGCAAUGUGCUUAAGGCUCGAAACGAGAGCGUCCGUCGUUCAUAUUUAGGAAACAAUGGGCUAAUGGAGGAUGAUUUCCGCCCUCCCGCCCGCAUAGCAUUCCGCAUCCGAUAGCACGAGCGACAGUCCAUGGGCCACAACAGCCGAAACAGCAUGUUUGGAACACAGGUACCGCUACAAUGUUCACCCGAUGCCCCAAAGGAG